AGUGAACGCUGGCGGUAGGCCUAACACAUGCAAGUCGAACGGCAGCACAGUAAGAGCUUGCUCUUACGGGUGGCGAGUGGCGGACGGGUGAGGCAUACAUCGGAAUCUUCUUUUUCGUGGGGGAUAACGUAGGGAAACUUACGCUACUACCUCAUACGACCUACGGGUGAAAUCAGCGGAUCUUCGGACCUUGCGCGACUGAAUGAGCCGAUGUCGGAUUAGCUAGUUGGAGGGGUAAAGGCCCACCAAGGCGACGAUCCGUAGCUGGUCUGAGGGGAUGAUCAGCAACACGGGAACUGAAACACGGUCAAGACCCCAAGGGAGGGAAGCGGGGGGGAAUAUUGGACAAUGGGCGCAAGCCUAAUCCAGCCAUACGGGGUGGGUGAAGAAGGCCUUCGGGUGGUAAAGCCCUUUUGUUGGGAAAGAAAAGCGGCAAGUUAAUACCCCGCUGUUCUGACGGUACCCAAAGAAUAAGCACCGGCUAACUUCGU
RNAcentral lists this ribosomal RNA (491 nucleotides) under uncultured bacterium. RNAcentral describes it as "partial 16S ribosomal RNA". It matches the Rfam family "Bacterial small subunit ribosomal RNA", at positions 29 to 506 of the family's 1533-position model. The record is from RNAcentral.